GAUGAAGAACGUAGUGAACUGCGAUAAGUAAUGUGAAUUGCAGAAUUCAGUGAAUCAUCGAGUCUUUGAACGCACAUUGCGCCCCCUGGCAUUCCGGGGGGCAUGCCUGUCCGAGCGUCAUUGCUGCCCUUCAAGCCCGGCUUGUGUGUUGGGUCGUCGUCCCCCCCGGGGGACGGGCCCGAAAGGCAGCGGCGGCACCGCGUCCGGUCCUCGAGCGUAUGGGGCUUCGUCACCCGCUCUUGUAGGCCCGGCCGGCGCUUGCCGACACAUCAAUCUUUUUUCCAGGUUGACCUCGGAUCAGGUAGGGAUACCCGCUGAACUUAAGCAUAUCAAUAAGCGGAGGA
Molecule: unclassified non-coding RNA, 344 nt
Filed under: soil metagenome
Description: partial contains 5.8S ribosomal RNA, internal transcribed spacer 2, and large subunit ribosomal RNA
Rfam family: 5.8S ribosomal RNA (bases 1-120)
Source: RNAcentral